GGUCAUAGCUCAGUGGUAGAGCAUCUGCCUUGCAUGCAGAACGUCCCAGGUUCAAUCCCCAGGUAGGGCUG
This is a non-coding RNA of Podarcis lilfordi (Lilford's wall lizard), 71 nucleotides long. NCBI's taxonomy places the organism in Eukaryota, Metazoa, Chordata, Lepidosauria, Squamata, Lacertidae. The record is from the annotation of a GenBank genome assembly.